UAACGAAUCUUCCACAAUGCACGAAAGUGUGAUGGAGCGACGCCGCGUGUAGGACGAAGCCCUUCGGGGUGUAAACUACUGUCAGGGGUUAGAAAGUUCUGAUCAACCCCAGAGGAAGAGACGGCUAACUCUGUGCCAGCAGCCGCGGUAAGACAGAGGUCUCGAGCGUUAGGCGGAAUCACUGGGCUUAAAGCGUGUGUAGGCGGAUUUGUAAGUACCUUGUGAAAUCCCACGGCUUAACCGUGGAACUGCUUGGUAUACUGCUUAUCUUGGGCCAUCUAGGGGCGAGCGGAACAAACGGUGGAGCGGUGAAAUGCGUAGAUAUCGUUUGGAACGCCAAUGGUGAAAACAGCUCGCUGGGGAUGUGCCGACGCUGAGACACGAAAGCCAGGGGAGCGAACGGGAUUAGAUACCCCCGUAGUCC
RNAcentral lists this ribosomal RNA (424 nucleotides) under uncultured bacterium. RNAcentral's name for it is "bacterial SSU rRNA". It matches the Rfam family "Bacterial small subunit ribosomal RNA", at positions 355 to 796 of the family's 1533-position model. The record is from RNAcentral.